CGCACCUUGCACCUUUUGGUAUUCCGAAAGGUACAUCUGUUUGAGUGUCAUGAAUCCCUCAACCUCUACGUUUUCUUUGUAAAGCGUCAGAGCGUUGGAUGCUGAGCGUUGCUGUGUCACCACAGCUCGCUUCAAAUGUAUAAGCAAUCUUGUCAUCAACUGGAUUGACUCGGCGUGAUAAGAUCUUCGUCGAGGAUGCUUCUAUAGCAGCCAGAUGGUGCGCAAGUCGCUCCAAAACCUGUAGCGGCCUCGGCUGCCUCAUCCUUACAUUUAGACCUCAAAUCAGAUGGGACUACCCGCUGAACUUAA
Molecule: unclassified non-coding RNA, 309 nt
Filed under: Septobasidiaceae sp.
Lineage: Eukaryota; Fungi; Basidiomycota; Pucciniomycetes; Septobasidiales; Septobasidiaceae
Description: partial contains 5.8S ribosomal RNA, internal transcribed spacer 2, and large subunit ribosomal RNA
Source: RNAcentral